Saccostrea cuccullata (small rock oyster) is the source of this 482-nucleotide long non-coding RNA. RefSeq lists it as uncharacterized. The record is from RefSeq and is a predicted model, not a curated record. NCBI's taxonomy places the organism in Eukaryota, Metazoa, Mollusca, Bivalvia, Ostreida, Ostreidae. The transcript has 2 exons.
AAAAGAAGCAAACUUAGUUUUUACGAGGUGAGUUAAAUUAACCGCAUCUUCUACGCGUUACCGACUCGAUAUCUAGCUGAAGUUACGACUGGAUUUUCUAGAUUUCAGGAAGCAGAAACUACUAUGAAAUUUAUUACCUUCGCCAGUGUGUUGUUGUUGGCAACAGUGAUUGAGAACGAAGCUAGAUUCAAGAACAUCCCUUGCUACUCUUGUGACUAUAUUAUGCGUUUCUGUAGCUUCCGGUGUCGUCAUCAGCCGAGUUCGGCCCAGAACUACUACUGCAAUGACUUCUGUGAACGGAGGAACGAGCGCUGUUACCUUGAGUGUAGGGAAGAUCGCGAGGGUUACGACUGACCCACCGCCCACAGAAACCAGGCACCCGGACAAUGAGCGCUGAUACACCACUGACAGAAAUAACAACCAACACCUCAGCUCUUAUGUAAAACUUAAUUCUAUAGGAUCAAUAAAUAUUACACAGCUUU